CAUUGCUUAUCUCUAACCUUCAUCCAUCUCUAUAACCAUGCCACCAUAGCCAUUUUGUCCAAAGUCGUAACUAAUGUUCGAACUACAACCUGCAACCCCCAAACUUCGGGUUUGAGAAAUGAAAACCGGGAACUUUGAAGCUACACCCGCAACCCCAGAUCCAUCACAUUGCACAGCCAGCACUGGGAUCUUUGUCAUCCAUUGCAGGACUUUCAGAUCCACAGCAGGAAACAACCCAAAUUGCAGAUCUUAAGGUUGAACGAAAGGUAUAAAUUUUCAACAACGAUUUGGAUGAAUAGAUUAUGUGAAUCUGUGUCUUUGUAGUCAUUGUCGUUCAUGUGAUUUGGUCAGUGUGUGGCUGCUGUCUCGCAUCCAUAGGUUUGAAAGUCUUUAAUUUUUCUUCUAUGCAUGCUGCCCUGAAUAAUAUGAUGAAUGUUGAGCUAAACAAUGCACCAACUGGAUCCUUGGUUUGCAUGAACAAUUGUGCUCUCCUUUAUGUUGCUUGGAUCACACCCCCAGACUUGUAUUUAGUAAUAUUUUAAAUAAAAUGCGAGGGAGUGAUUGAGUGAGAGGGGGGCCAAGCAAUGCAAGGGGCUUUAUCACCAACCCCACUGUGAGUAUGUCUGGAACACUGCCUUUGCAUAUUUCUGCAUUCGAUUAAUUGUCUGGACUUUUCAUUGAUGAUGAAUGAUGAUGAAUGCUGAUGUGCUGAGUUGAAUUUGUAAAUGCUGCUGAAUGCAGGAUUCAGAUGAAUGUGUGCGCUUAGUCGAUAUUUAGGGCUUAAUUGCUUCCAAAUGCAACCUACAAAGAUCACACAAGAAAAAUCUAAUUAGAAUAAACCCAAAAUAAAAUAUUGAUCAACUAAAAAUAUGGCUAUUUUUGUGUUUUUCAAUUUUUUUUUUUUUGUGAUUUUUGUAAUUGAAAUAAAAGCAAGAAAACUAAAUUGAACGAAAUUAAAAAGAUAAGAGUUGGAAAAAAUUGGGUUGCCUCCCAAUUAACGCUUUAGUUAAUGUCUAUAGCUAGACUUAGAGGAAGGAAUUGAUGAUCGCGUCACUUGUUCUAUUAGAAUCAACCACUCUUUAACAUCAUCAUAUAACAACGGUAGGUACGGAUUGACUUGAUAUGUGCAAUUAAAUUCAGUAGUUGAGUUCUUAAUGUCCACCUUUCUAUGAGAGUGUAUCUUUGAAACCAAAUAAGUUCCCUUCCAUUGAUGCUUGUGUUUCCCUUGAAUUGACUUAAAUCUAAUAUUUAAUAGCCACAAUUUCUACACUGGACAAAGUUCUCUAUGAAGAAUAGGACUACCAUUAAACUUUUUCUUCAUUCCCUUGUAGAUCUUAGCUUGCCUGUAGGACUCACUUAGAUUUUCUUUAAAUUUGAAUGCUUGUACUGCUAGAUUGUCCAAUUCAGCAACAUCAAUUGUAUCAGUAGUCAUCUACCAUGUAUCCAAUAGUGUGUUAGAGAGCUGAUCAUGCGACAUAUUAGAUGUUAAAUUUGUGUGAACCUGCCCUAACAUAUUAACACUCAUGUCUUCCUGCAAGCUUUGUGGGAAAGGUUUUGGUGGCACAUGAACUUGGCUAGCUAAAGGAUCUGGGAGAAUUUUUGGAUCAUCAUGUGCUGCUUCCCUUUGGGCGUAAGCAAGUGGCAAAUUUCUCCUCAGUUCCUGCACCAAUCUUCCCUUCAUCAUUAAAGCUCUUCCCACAGUUUAAUGCUUGAAUCAGAAAUCCUUGAUUGGUUAUUUCAAUGUACAACUCAAUUGAUUCCAACAAUUUAGAGAGCUUGUCCUCUAUCGGAAGCUCUUGUGGCACAUUAAACUGCUCAAAAAAUUGCUCAAGAUGCUCUUUCAAGUUUGGAUUGUAGGAUUCUGAACAAGGAUUGUUCCAAUGCUUUUUUGAGUUGUUCCUCAUAUUAAUAUGCGUUCCCGUUUCUACUAAUGAAACCCAAAGAGAUGGUCCACCGGGUGUUAGAUUGAA
This is a long non-coding RNA of Pyrus x bretschneideri (Chinese white pear), 1970 nucleotides long. RefSeq lists it as uncharacterized. The transcript is spliced from 2 exons. The record is from RefSeq and is a predicted model, not a curated record. NCBI's taxonomy places the organism in Eukaryota, Viridiplantae, Streptophyta, Magnoliopsida, Rosales, Rosaceae.